This is a long non-coding RNA of Oncorhynchus tshawytscha (Chinook salmon), 3064 nucleotides long. The record is from Ensembl. NCBI's taxonomy places the organism in Eukaryota, Metazoa, Chordata, Actinopteri, Salmoniformes, Salmonidae.
GACAAAUGGUUCCUUCCAGAACGCAGUUAAACCAAGUAAAUAAUUAAAAGGAUGAAAUAAUGAUUUUACAUUAAGGUAACAUGUUAAUCACAUACCUAAAAAAAUGGAAUUAUCUCGUUUUAUUUAAAAAAUCGAAUAUAUUUUCACUGCCAUCAAGCACACACUGAAAUACUUAAUGCGACCAAAUACACCGCAGUACUGCAGUACUACUUCCUCUAGCUACUAGCUAGUACCAGCUAGUACUUUUCCAUGUACUGACAAAGAUUUGCAUCCAGUCUCACUGCGAUCUCAGCAACGAAAUUGAAUACACAGGGCGUUUGCCCACCUAAGUAAUGGCACCAAAGCGGGCAGCAACAACAACACACUCUGUCAGUGUCCACACAGGCUCUUCUGUCAAAAUGAUGAAGAUUGGCAUGGAUCAUUCUCUGGAGGACUUUGGUGAGGUAAUAGAGGAGAAGUACAGAAUACCAGAUGAUGGAUAUUCACCCAUAGAGGGUGAACCAAUCACCUUCGAGGAAGAAGACGAUCAAAGUCCUGAAACGAGAACCGACACCAUAACUCUCCUGAUGAAAAUUGAUCAGCUCCAAGCAGAACUGAAAUAUGAGCGUAGAUGCAGGCAGCUGGCUGAGAGGGAACUGAAACAGAUGAAAGAGAUGAAUGACCUGAUGACCCAGAUGAGACACACUGCCCAUGACCUGAGGACUGUUCUGGACCAUGCUCGGGGGCAGCAGGGGAAUGAUGUGAAUGAUGUUGUGAACGAUGCUGUCACCCCAGAGAGCUGUGAGGGGCAGAGCAUCUCUUAUGCGGACGUGCCAGUUCAGAUGUCACAGGUGGUGUCACAGGAGGUAGAGCAGGACGCUAACUAUAUCCACCUCCCUGGGGGUCUGAGAGUGCAGAGGAAUCUGUACAAGGGGAUCUCAGAGAUCAUGGACUUCAAGAAGUACAUCUCAGCCAUGCUGAUGGUGCUGUUUGACAGGGAGACGCUGGGCACACACAGUCUGCAGGGCAGGAGGUGUAACAUCGCCAAAGAGGAAACGCAGAAACCUCAACUUCCCCCUGACAUCAUGAGAGGCCUUCUAGGUACUGUACUUUGUCUAUUUCUUAUUGCUGUCUAUUUUAUUCAACCUUAAUUUAACCAGGUUGUCUCAUUGAGGUCGGAGGACCUCUUUCCCGAGGGAAAGUCAUUCCAGCAAACUAAAAUUGGUUUUGUGAAAGUUCCCGGAACAUUUGUUAGUUCGCUGCAAAUCUUCACAUAACACAAAGGUAAGCAACUCCAGUGUAUAUUUGGCCUUGUGUUUUAGGUUAUUAUCCUUCUGAAACGUUCAUUUGUCUCCCAGUGUCUGUUGGAAAGCAGACUGAACCAGGUUUUCCUCUAGGAUUGUGUUUUGCUCUAUUCCAUUUAUGUUUAUACUAAAAAAACUCAACCACCACCAUGCUUGAAAAUAGGAAUAGUGAUAUUCAGUGUUGUGUUGGAUUUGCCCGAAACAUAACACUUCGUAUACAUGAAAUAAAGUUAAUUUCUUUGGCACAUUUUUGGCAGUUUUACUUUAAUGCCUUAUUGCAAACAGGAUACAUGUUUAUAAUAUUUUUAUUCUGUACAGACUUCCUUCUGUUCACUCUGUCAUUUAGGUUAGUAUUGUGGAAUAACUACAAUGUUGUUGAUCCCAUCCGCAGUUUCCCCCAUCACAGCCAUUACACACUGUGACUGUUUUAAAGUCACCAUUGGCCUCAUGGUGAAACCUCUGAGCAGUUUCCUUCCUCUCCGGCAACUGAGUUAGGAAGGACACUUGUAUCUUUGUAGUGACUGCGUGUAUUCGUACACCAUCCAAAGUGUAAUCAAUAACUUCACCAUGCACAAAGGGAUAUUCAGUGUCUGCUUUUCUUUAUUUUUACCCAUCUAUCAAUAGGUGACCUUCUUUGCGAGGCGUUGGAAAACCUCCCAGGUCUUUGUGGUUGAUUCUGUGUUUGAAAUUCACUGCUUGACUGAGGGACCUUACAGAUAAUUGUAUGUGUGUGGUACAGAGAUUAAGUAGUCAUUCAAAAAUCAUGUUAAACACUAUUAUUGCUAUUAUUGAGUCCAUGCAACUUAUUAUGUGGCUUGUUAAGUACAGUUUUACCCCUGAAUGUAUUUACUCAAGACAUUUAAGUUGUUGUUUUUUUAAAUCAAUUUGUAAAAAAAAAAAAAAAUUUUUUUGUUUUGUUUUGACAUUAUGGGGUAUUGUGUGUAGGCCAGUGACAAAAUCUCAAUUUCAUCAAUUUUAAAUUCAAGCUGUAACACAACAAAAUGUGGAAAAAGUUUGUGAAGGAACUGUAUUAUGUGACUUGUUAAGCAAAACUUAUUUAGACUUGCCAUAACAGGGGUUGAAUACUUAUUGACUAAUGACAUUUCAGCUUUUCAUUUUUGAUUAAUUUGUAAAAAUGUCUAAAAACACAAUUACACUUUCAUAUUAUGGUGUAUUGUAUGUGGGACAGUGACACAGAUCUGAAUCUGAAGGCGCUGUAUGUUUUUUAUUUCUAAUGAUAAAAGAUAUCAAUAAUACAUGUUUAAAUUGUAUUUUUUCUAGAUCACGUGAGGAUAAAGUUUGGUGUGGAUUACAGUGCGAUUCGAGCUGCCGUCAGAACAAAGUUAAAUAAUGAAGACAAACUGUUGAAGAAGAGACUUGGGAUCCGUUAAAUCUCCAUUCAAAAAAAUAAAAAUAACCAAAUACCAGGUUAUAAUCACACAAUUGUUUACAUUGCAAUUACUGUAUUCUGUCCUGUAAGUGCAAUGUUUUAUUCCACCAACAGAUGUCAGUGUUUAGACAGUUUAGUUGGUUGAUGUUACUUUUGAUCAGAAGGAUAUUGACUUUGUUUGUUUGUAUGAUUUAAGAGUACUGUAGACUACACAUAUUAUAGAUUACAUUUGUGAUUGAUUGACUCACAUAGUAGCCUUAACAACACAUUAUUCUAUAAUGAUUGUGCCUGUUAAAUACAUGUCUUUCUGAUUCCCACAACAUCCAAUCUGGUUUCACUAAUGCUAUUAAAUUACAUUUUUUAUAUAUAAAAAAAAACAUGUUAAACCCCU